RNAcentral lists this ribosomal RNA (427 nucleotides) under uncultured eukaryote. Its description in RNAcentral is "bacterial SSU rRNA". It matches the Rfam family "Eukaryotic small subunit ribosomal RNA", at positions 592 to 1018 of the family's 1831-position model. The record is from RNAcentral.
CAAUAGCGUAUACUAAAGUUGUUGCAGUUAAAAAGCUCGUAGUUGAAUUUCUGGUCGUGAAAAGUGGUCCGUUCCGCAAGGAAUGUGUACUGUCUAUUCAUGUCCAUCCUCGGAGUUAGUUUGUAUUACUUUAAUCGGUCGUGCAUACAAUACUUCGUCAUUUACUGUGAGCAAAUUAGAGUGUUCAAAGCAGGCUUAUGCCUUGGAUAUGUUAGCAUGGAAUAAUAAGAUAAGACUUUGGCGGUCUAUUUUGUUGGUUUGCACGCCAUUGUAAUGAUUGAUAGGGACAGUUGGGGGUAUUCAUAUUUAAUUGUCAGAGGUGAAAUUCUUGGAUUUAUGAAAGAUGAACUACUGCGAAAGCAUUUACCAAGGAUGUUUUCAUUAAUCAAGAACGAAAGUUAGGGGAUCGAAGACGAUUAGAUACCGU